UGGCUGCUCACCCCUGUAAGGUCUCCGGUUGGCCCUGCCAAGGAGCAGUACAACUCGGCCCACACUCGGACGAGGCAAGUCAUUGAGAGGACCUUCGGGGUUCUCAAAGGACGCUUCAGGUGCCUGCACCAGUCCGGGGGUGCUCUACAGUACAGUCCGCUGAUGUGCACCAAAAUAGGGGUGGCAUGCGCUAUGCUGCGCAACAUGUGUGUCCGACAUGGCAUUGACUUCAACUUUACUGAUGAUGACCCUUUCUUGGACGAGGGAGGGGAUGACCCUGAACUACGACGUCUGCAAGAAGACACAGGAGCUGGGAUUGCUGUGGGUCGCCAAGUUAUUCAGGCCAUGCGUUCAUUGGCUGAGCAGAUGUAAUGGCACUACAUCGGGCACUUCAUCGCCAUGUGCUUUGUGGCUCCAGCAAAAUUGACAGAUAAAUAUGUGGGAUUUUACGUCCCAAAACAACGAUGUGAUCACCCGAGACACCCUAAUGGAGGAUCAUCUCAUGUUUUUCAACGUGCACGGAUAUCGCAGAGUACACAGACCUUUACCAUUUC
Molecule: long non-coding RNA, 554 nt
Organism: Rhipicephalus microplus (southern cattle tick)
Lineage: Eukaryota; Metazoa; Arthropoda; Arachnida; Ixodida; Ixodidae
Source: RefSeq, a predicted model, not a curated record